This 490-nucleotide ribosomal RNA is filed under the name uncultured bacterium. RNAcentral's name for it is "partial 16S ribosomal RNA". It matches the Rfam family "Bacterial small subunit ribosomal RNA", at positions 30 to 507 of the family's 1533-position model. The record is from RNAcentral.
AUUGAACGCUGGCGGCAGGCCUAACACAUGCAAGUCGAAUGGUAACAGGAAACAGCUUGCUGUUUCGCUGACGAGUGGCGGACGGGUGAGUAAUGUCUGGGAAACUGCCUGAUGGAGGGGGAUAACUACUGGAAACGGUAGCUAAUACCGCAUAACGUCGCAAGACCAAAGAGGGGGACCUUCGGGCCUCUGGCCAUCAGAUGUGCCCAGAUGGGAUUAGCUAGUAGGUGGGGUAACGGCUCACCUAGGCGACGAUCCCUAGCUGGUCUGAGAGGAUGACCAGCCACACUGGAACUGAGACACGGUCCAGACUCCUACGGGAGGCAGCAGUGGGGAAUAUUGCACAAUGGGCGCAAGCCUGAUGCAGCCAUGCCGCGUGUAUGAAGAAGGCCUUCGGGUUGUAAAGUACUUUCAGCGGGGAGGAAGGGAGUAAAGUUAAUACCUUUGCUCAUUGACGUUACCCGCAGAAGAAGCACCGGCUAACUCCGUG